Nilaparvata lugens (brown planthopper) is the source of this 713-nucleotide long non-coding RNA. RefSeq lists it as uncharacterized. Lineage: Eukaryota; Metazoa; Arthropoda; Insecta; Hemiptera; Delphacidae. The transcript is spliced from 3 exons. The record is from RefSeq and is a predicted model, not a curated record.
UCCAAUGUUAAAUUUUUGGUUCAAGUGAUACAGAAUGACGUCAGGGUGAUACAGAGAUACAGAACGGCGUCCAUCUUUGAUUUGAUACAGAUAUUAUCAUCUCUACAGAGGAUGAAAUCCAUAAAUAAAUAUUAUUUGAAUAAUUCUCUAUUAUAUCAGUGUUUAAUGAUAUUUAGAUAGUUUUUAAUAUUGGUUUCAAUUGACCUACAGAUUUUUUGGUUAUUUUUUUUUUUGACUGAAAAUUGUACUCAACUCAAAAUGAAUUGAGGUUAUGAAAAUAUUAACCAUCGAUAACCAAUUUUUGGAAUUUUUAGUCUGAAUCUAAAUUUAAAAGAGGAAUAGGACAGUUUUUAUCUCAUCUCUCCGAUCAUUUUGAUUUAAAUUAUAUGUGGAAAUAAUUAAAGAAUGAAACUGUUAAUUUGGUAAACAGAUACAGGAAUUUGGAGGUUAGCCUAUUUAUAUUUAGCAUAUUUUCCUAGUUUUAUCCCAACCUAGCAAAUAAUAACAGUUUAGCUUGUUAGAACGACAACUUGUUGCUUGGUAUGGAUUGUAAGACACAGAAGAAGACGCAUUUAGAUGUUUUUGGAUCUUGAAUCUUGAUGCUCACAGAAAAGCAAGUCAACCAGACAGGCUCUGAAAAUUGAUGAAAUGGAACAAAUUAUUUGGACAAGACACUAGAAAAAUUCUACUCGGUCGGUUUUGAAAUCAUACCU